AUGGUGAUACCUUGCACUCUAGGAGAAAGGUUGACUCGAUUUUGGAGAAGUGAGUUGAAAUUGCAGAUAGAGCCAACAUAUGAAUGGUACGAGUUUGAUGUUCUACAGCGUGGAUCGAAAUACAUCCUCGCCGGAGAAUGGGAGAUGUUUGCUAGUAUAUACAAAAUCAACAAGGGCGACACGCUGCAUUUGAACGGUUGUUCACUUGUGCACGAACACCUGGUUUUUGGCCAUUUACGUCGACUGUCAGGCGAUAUCGCAGUGCCAAGAUGUACAAUAGAUGAGUACAAGGCGGAACAACGAAUUGUGUAG
This 312-nucleotide ribosomal RNA is filed under the name Triticum aestivum (bread wheat). Its description in RNAcentral is "partial small subunit ribosomal RNA". The record is from RNAcentral. Lineage: Eukaryota; Viridiplantae; Streptophyta; Magnoliopsida; Poales; Poaceae.